This 247-nucleotide ribosomal RNA is filed under the name uncultured Dialister sp. RNAcentral describes it as "partial 16S ribosomal RNA". It matches the Rfam family "Bacterial small subunit ribosomal RNA", at positions 127 to 354 of the family's 1533-position model. Lineage: Bacteria; Bacillati; Bacillota; Negativicutes; Veillonellales; Veillonellaceae. The record is from RNAcentral.
UGCCUUCAAGAUGGGGACAACAGACGGAAACGACUGCUAAUACCGAAUACGAUCCGAAAGUCGCAUGACAUUUGGAUGAAAGGUGGCCUAUCGAAGAAGCUAUCGCUUGAAGAGGGGUUUGCGUCCGAUUAGGUAGUUGGUGAGGUAACGGCCCACCAAGCCGACGAUCGGUAGCCGGUCUGUACGAGGAUGAACGGCCACACUGGAACUGAGACACGGUCCAGACUCCGUACGGGAGGCAGCAGGA